This 484-nucleotide ribosomal RNA is filed under the name uncultured bacterium. Its description in RNAcentral is "partial 16S ribosomal RNA". It matches the Rfam family "Bacterial small subunit ribosomal RNA", at positions 30 to 507 of the family's 1533-position model. The record is from RNAcentral.
AUUGAACGCUGGCGGCAGGCCUAACACAUGCAAGUCGAGCGGAUGAAGGGAGCUUGCUCCUGGAUUCAGCGGCGGACGGGUGAGUAAUGCCUAGGAAUCUGCCUGGUAGUGGGGGAUAACGUCCGGAAGCGGGCGCUAAUACCGCAUACGUCCUGAGGGAGAAAGUGGGGGAUCUUCGGACCUCACGCUAUCAGAUGAGCCUAGGUCGGAUUAGCUAGUUGGUGGGGUAAAGGCCUACCAAGGCGACGAACCGUAACUGGUCUGAGAGGAUGAUCAGUCACACUGGAACUGAGACACGGUCCAGACUCCUACGGGAGGCAGCAGUGGGGAAUAUUGGACAAUGGGCGAAAGCCUGAUCCAGCCAUGCCGCGUGUGUGAAGAAGGUCUUCGGAUUGUAAAGCACUUUAAGUUGGGAGGAAGGGCAGUAAGUUAAUACCUUGCUGUUUUGACGUUACCAACAGAAUAAGCACCGGCUAACUUCGUG